UUAGGUCGACCCGCUGAAUUUAAGCAUAUCACUAAGCGGAGGAAAAGAAACUAACAAGGAUUCCCUCAGUAACUGCGAGUGAACAGGGAAGAGCCCAGCACCGAAGCCUGUGGUCAGUUGGCCAUUAGGCAAUGUGGUGUUUAGGUCGUUCCGCAGAAACACUGCUCCACCCCAAGUCCAUUAAUGGGUACGGUAGUACAGACAUGGCCCACGGAGGGUGAAAGGCCCGUUCGGGUGGAGAUUCGGCAGGCCAGUGUUUCUCUGGGUAGACCUUGGAGUCGGGUUGUUUGUGAAUGCAGCCCAAAGCGGGUGGUAAACUCCAUCCAAGGCUAAAUACAAGCACGAGUCCGAUAGCGAACAAGUACCGUGAGGGAAAGUUGAAAAGUACUUUGAAGAGAGAGUUAACAGUGCGUGAAACCGCUCAGAGGUAAGCAGGUGGAGUUGAACUGCAAGCCUUGAGAAUUCAGCUGGUGAGGGUGGUUUGGUCUUGGUCAAGUUGGUUGGGCCCUGAGGUACGUUCAAUUACGUGUCCUUUCCCUCGGGUUGGGAUGUGCGAUACACUUAUCAAGUGUUGCGCGCCUUGGGUGUUCAUCGAGCUUCCUUGCCAGUGCACUUUCUCAAGGUGGUCACCACGACCGGCGCUGCUGUCAGACUGUUGCGGUUAAACCGGCCUUGCGAUGCCCUUGUGGUAUUACCUGGUCGGGAUGGCAGGUAGCUCGUUAGCUUGCGUUUGCUUGCUUUCGAGUGUAAUCAGCUGACCGUGAUGGUUCUGUGCGGUGCGUCGGAGACGGCGGCUAGUGGUGUGUGCAUGCGUGCCCGAUUUGCUGGCGUAUCCCGGUUUGGUUUCUGUGUUGCCUGUGUUAGCAGGCCCAGUUAUGGCUGGGGUUCGUUCAGUGAAUGGUUGCGUGUGUGACACUUCCAAGGGCCAAUAGUCUGUGGUGUAGUGGUAGACUAUCCACCUGACCCGUCUUGAAACACGGACCAAGGAGAGUAACAUGUACGCGAGUCAUUGGGCGU
Molecule: ribosomal RNA, 1017 nt
Filed under: Lyperosomum collurionis
Lineage: Eukaryota; Metazoa; Platyhelminthes; Trematoda; Plagiorchiida; Dicrocoeliidae
Description: eukaryotic LSU rRNA
Rfam family: Eukaryotic large subunit ribosomal RNA
Source: RNAcentral